GCGGGUGUGGCCAAGUGGUAAGGCAUUAGCUUCCCAAGCUAAGAUCGCCGGUUCGAAUCCGGUCACCCGCU
Molecule: transfer RNA, 71 nt
Filed under: Anaerolineaceae bacterium
Lineage: Bacteria; Bacillati; Chloroflexota; Anaerolineae; Anaerolineales; Anaerolineaceae
Also listed under: 1 other name
Description: tRNA-Gly
Rfam family: tRNA
About the family: Transfer RNA (tRNA) molecules are approximately 80 nucleotides in length. Their secondary structure includes four short double-helical elements and three loops (D, anti-codon, and T loops). Further hydrogen bonds mediate the characteristic L-shaped molecular structure. tRNAs have two regions of fundamental functional importance: the anti-codon, which is responsible for specific mRNA codon recognition, and the 3' end, to which the tRNAs corresponding amino acid is attached (by aminoacyl-tRNA synthetases). tRNAs cope with the degeneracy of the genetic code in two manners: having more than one tRNA (with a specific anti-codon) for a particular amino acid; and 'wobble' base-pairing, i.e. permitting non-standard base-pairing at the 3rd anti-codon position.
Source: RNAcentral